GUAGUCUGACCGAGCACGCCGCGUGAGUGAAGAAGGUUUUCGGAUCGUAAAACUCUGUUGUAGAGAAGAAAAGGAUGAGAGUAACUGUUCAUCCCUUGACGGAUCUAACCAGAAAGCCACGGCUAACUACGUGCCAGCAGCCGCGGUAAUACGUAGGUGGCAAGCGUUGUCCGGAUUUAUUGGGCGUAAAGCGAGCGCAGGCGGUUUCUUAAGUCUGAUGUGAAAGCCCCCGGCUCAACCGGGGAGGGUCAUUGGAAACUGGGAGACUUGAGUGCAGAAGAGGAGAGUGGAAUUCCAUGUGUAGCGGUGAAAUGCGUAGAUAUAUGGAGGAACACCAGUGGCGAAGGCGGCUCUCUGGUCUGUAACUGACGCUGAGGCUCGAAAGCGUGGGGAGCAAACAGGAUUAGAUACCCUGGUAGUCCACGCCGUAAACGAUGAGUGCUAAGUGUUGGAGGGUUUCCGCCCUUCAGUGCUGCAGCUAACGCAUUAAGCACUCCGCCUGGGGAGUACGACCGCAAGGUUGAAACUCAAAGGAAUUGACGGA
Molecule: ribosomal RNA, 544 nt
Filed under: Enterococcus ratti
Lineage: Bacteria; Bacillati; Bacillota; Bacilli; Lactobacillales; Enterococcaceae
Description: bacterial SSU rRNA
Rfam family: Bacterial small subunit ribosomal RNA
Source: RNAcentral